CAAAAGCAAAGCUCAAAGAGCUCAAGCCUGAGUUUAAAUGGGCUCCUGGGCCACGGCUGGAGGAUGGUGGAGGCUCCAGGUGAACCUCGUCAAGCUAUUUCUGUGAAGUCCCAUACUCAAUUCACAGCUGGCAGGGAACAAAAACGUGUUGCUUUUAGGACCGUAAGUAUGGAGGCUAAGCCACUGGGGAGAAAUGUGGUGCUUCAUCCUCCUGGCUCAAGUGCAGAACCUGCACAGUAUAGAGCAUAAUCAGAGCACUCUGUCUCUGCACCAUUUGGGAUUCAGACUUCAGGGAAGGUAGAGAUCAGUGACGAGAAGAGUGUGUUUGGAGGAGGAAGGCUGAUAACAGGCUUCAACAGAAGAGAAGAUUCCUAUCAAACACGGAGAAACCCUAUGGCAGGUUUACAAAUGGCAUUAGUGUUAAUUGUGCUUAAAAAGAGGUAAUUUAUACAAAUUCUUGUCUGUUAAUUCAACCACUUUUCCUGAAGUACCACCAUGUCACAGGAGAGUGCAUGGCGUGCUCAGGACAUUCCUGUUCCUCUCCAGUUAUGAGAAUGAACAUACAGAAAAUGAAUAAAGUAACUCAGAAACGUAAUAAGCGGGAGACUUUCGAGUACUUUUUCUUAAUAGCACAGUAUAUAAUCAAGUUCCAAUUUCAAAUGCUCUGGGGUUACAUCUCUGCCCUGAUCGCAUCUUCUGUGCUCUUCUCGCCUUUGUUUCCACACUCCUGCUCAGCACUGAGUGUAAUUACGAAUGCCAGUCACUUGGUUAAACAAAUGCUUUGUUUGGCAACCUUUGUUUUCCUACUGCUUAUGCAGCUGCAAAAUUGUGUGCACAGUGUGUUAAUUUUUUACCUCUGACCCCUAUG
RNAcentral lists this long non-coding RNA (868 nucleotides) under Gallus gallus (chicken). RNAcentral's name for it is "lncRNA (ENSGALG00010010102.1)". Lineage: Eukaryota; Metazoa; Chordata; Aves; Galliformes; Phasianidae. The record is from RNAcentral.